RNAcentral lists this long non-coding RNA (284 nucleotides) under Citrus sinensis (sweet orange). Its description in RNAcentral is "long non-coding RNA (CSIN_LNC002792)". Lineage: Eukaryota; Viridiplantae; Streptophyta; Magnoliopsida; Sapindales; Rutaceae. The record is from RNAcentral.
AUAAUAUAGAAGUAGCUAUGUGGCUAGUUUUUGGCUUCCAGGGUCAAAAAUGAAAAAAAAGGGCUUAUUUUAAAAUGGCUUAUUUUUUUCAUUUUCAAUUGAUUUUUAUGGUUGCGUGGGGUGUCUAAUUAUGGGAUCCUCUUAUUAUCUUGGGGAUCCUUUUUUUACCUUUCUUUUUGGGGGUUUCUGUUGAAGUGCAACAGAUGGCUGAGGUGGAAAUUUUUCCACCCGCCAUUUGUGCUUGAGAUAGCUGCUUCUUUUUUUGAUGCUUCUUGGAAUUGCUU